RNAcentral lists this ribosomal RNA (253 nucleotides) under uncultured bacterium. RNAcentral's name for it is "partial 16S ribosomal RNA". It matches the Rfam family "Bacterial small subunit ribosomal RNA", at positions 524 to 776 of the family's 1533-position model. The record is from RNAcentral.
UACGGAGGAUCCAAGCGUUAUCCGGAUUCAUUGGGUUUAAAGGGUGCGUAGGCGGAAUAGUAAGUCAGUGGUGAAAGCCUGCAGCUUAACUGCAGAACUGCCAUUGAUACUGCUAAUCUUGAGUACAUAUGAAGUGGGCGGAAUGUGUAGUGUAGAGGUGAAAUUCUUAGAUAUUACACAGAACACCGAUUGCGAAGGCAGCUCACUAAAAUGUAACUGACGCUGAGGCACGAAAGCGUGGGGAUCAAACAGG